CACGUAGGGAGCAAGCGUUGUCCGGAUUCAUUGGGCGUAAAGAGCUCGUAGGCGGCUCGGUAAGUCGGGUGUGAAACCUCUGGGCUCAACCCAGAGACGCCACCCGAUACUGCCAUGGCUAGAGUCCAGCAGGGGAGCGUGGAAUUCCCGGUGUAGCAGUGAAAUGCGUAGAUAUCGGGAGGAAUACCGAUGGCGAAGGCAGGUCUCUGGGCUAUAACUGACGCUCAUGCACGAAAGCGUGGGGAGCAAACAGG
Molecule: ribosomal RNA, 254 nt
Filed under: uncultured bacterium
Lineage: Bacteria
Description: partial 16S ribosomal RNA
Rfam family: Bacterial small subunit ribosomal RNA
Source: RNAcentral